RNAcentral lists this unclassified non-coding RNA (200 nucleotides) under Trechispora sp. RNAcentral's name for it is "partial internal transcribed spacer 2". The record is from RNAcentral. Lineage: Eukaryota; Fungi; Basidiomycota; Agaricomycetes; Trechisporales; Hydnodontaceae.
UUAAGUUCAGCGGGUAGUCCUACCUGAUUUGAGGUCAGAUUUCAAAGUUUAGCUUGACCGCCGCUCCACAGGCGGUCGGGGUCGGGGUCGGGCACGGAAGGGGAACUUCUCGGUAGAGCGAGGAUGAUACAACGCCCAGUCGAGUUCGACCCACAGGCCCAACCGAUGCAUUUGAGGGGAGCCGCCUCGCAGCAGCAAGC